AGCGAGUUACCCUGUAGACCCGGGCUUUUGUAGACCCGAAAGAGUCAGAAGCUCGUUUCUACAGGUUUCUCGAUG
RNAcentral lists this microRNA precursor (75 nucleotides) under Tetranychus urticae (two-spotted spider mite). RNAcentral's name for it is "mir-10 microRNA precursor family". It matches the Rfam family "mir-10 microRNA precursor family". From Rfam's summary of the family: In this case the mature sequence comes from the 5' arm of the precursor. The record is from RNAcentral. Lineage: Eukaryota; Metazoa; Arthropoda; Arachnida; Trombidiformes; Tetranychidae.